GGCUCUUUGGAAAAUAAAAAUAUAGAGAGUCGAGCCUGCCCAAUGACGUAAUGUUGAAUGGCUGCGGUACUCUGACCGUGCGAAGGUAGCAUAAUCAUUUGUCUUUUAAUUGAGGACUAGAAUGAAUGGUUUGACGAAAACAAGACUGUCUUUUUCUUAUUAAGUAGAAAUUAAUUUUUAAGUGAAGAAACUUUAAUUUUUAUAAAAGACAAGAAGACCCUAUUGAGCUUUAUUAUAUAAUACUAUUUUAAUUUUAUAUUAUUAAAAGGUUUAAAGAAGUUAAUUAUAAUUUGGUUGGGGCGACUUAGGAAUAUAGAAAACUUCCUUUAUUUUUUAUAAAGAAUUAUAUAGUGAUCCGGUAUUUAUCGAUUAAAAGAAAUAGCUACCAUAGGGAUAACAGCGUAAUUUUCUUUGAGAGUUCCUAUCGAAAAGAAAGUUUGCGACCUCGAUGUUGGAUUGAAGUAUCUAAAGGGUGUAGCAGCUUUUUGGGUUGGUCUGUUCGACCAUUAAAACUUUACAU
Molecule: ribosomal RNA, 520 nt
Filed under: Cocculina sp. L429
Lineage: Eukaryota; Metazoa; Mollusca; Gastropoda; Cocculinidae
Description: partial 16S ribosomal RNA
Rfam family: Bacterial large subunit ribosomal RNA
Source: RNAcentral